This 257-nucleotide long non-coding RNA is filed under the name Homo sapiens (human). Its description in RNAcentral is "HSALNT0344970". The record is from RNAcentral. Lineage: Eukaryota; Metazoa; Chordata; Mammalia; Primates; Hominidae.
GCAAAGGCCCAGAAAUGUCUUAGUGUAAACCAAAUCAAGGAAAUGGUAGGGGGUAUGGACCAGUCUCUAGCCAGGUUUCAGCUAGGACCUACAAAGUGAAAAGGACACCUCCUAUAAUAUUUAGCUAGACGGUUCAGAAUUUAUACCUUGUCUCGUCUUUGCUGUUCUGUCUUUAACAUAAUGCUGGCUUGUGCUGUUCCAGUGCUUACAGUGAAACUGAAUGUCAAGUGAAGCCAUCUGAAAAUAAAAAGGGACCA